GCCCAGGAACACUUCGCAGGGAAACGAAGCAAUAAUGAAUCACAGGCAUGUUUUUAAAAAGGAUUCCCAAUACUCUUUGGAGAAGCCAUUGGAGAAAGGGCCACUUUCCCCAAAGACUUUCCGCGCAGACUCCUUGAGGAGGAAACUCCCAUUUUGUCCCGGAAACAUCGUUGGUACCAUGGUAGCAGCCAAGAGACAAGCCACUUCUUCUGGAAACUUCCUCAGGCCUCACGUAUAAAGCACUCCCCCAACUUCUCCUCAGAUGAGUGGAUAGAACAUGCAGACGCUGGCACCAGGAGGGCGAGGCCUAGUUUCAUGUAUAUAGGGAAGGGAGGGCACGGUCCUGUCCAAGAAAGAUGACACAGCCUGGUGGUCACGACUGCUGUCUCACGGCAUCCUCCUGCUGAGACAGACACUACCACCGCUACCUCUACGCAGUGAGAUGGGGAGGUGGCAAUGGGACCCCUCCAUCUCUCUGGAGCUAGCUUUGAAUAAUUCCUUUCUCCUUUUUUUAAUCACAAUAAAUGGCCUCUUUUAAUCGGGUCAGUGGCAAGCAAAC
Molecule: long non-coding RNA, 559 nt
Filed under: Chinchilla lanigera (long-tailed chinchilla)
Lineage: Eukaryota; Metazoa; Chordata; Mammalia; Rodentia; Chinchillidae
Description: lncRNA (ENSCLAG00000027678.1)
Source: RNAcentral